AUUGAACGCUGGCGGCAGGCCUAACACAUGCAAGUCGAACGAGUGGCGGACGGGUGAGUAAUGUCUGGGACACUGCCUGAUGGAGGGGGAUCACUACUGGACACGGUAGCUAAUACCGCAUACCAUCGGAUGUGCCCAGAUGGGAGUAGCUAGUAGGUGGGGGAAAGGCUCACCUAGGCGACGAUCCCUAGCUGGUCUGAGAGGAUGACCAGCAACACUGGAACUGAGACACGGUCCAGACUCCUACGGGAGGCAGCAGUGGGGAAUAUUGCACAAUGGGCGCAAGCCUGAUGCAGCCAUGCCGCGUGUAUGAAGAAGGCCUUCGGGUUGUAAAGUACUUUCAGCGGGGAGGCGUUACCCGCAGAAGAAGCACCGGCUAACUCCGUGCCAGCAGCCGCGGUAAUAC
RNAcentral lists this ribosomal RNA (406 nucleotides) under uncultured bacterium. RNAcentral's name for it is "partial 16S ribosomal RNA". It matches the Rfam family "Bacterial small subunit ribosomal RNA", at positions 30 to 526 of the family's 1533-position model. The record is from RNAcentral.